CCUACGGGAGGCAGCAGUGGGGAAUUUUGGACAAUGGGGGCAACCCUGAUCCAGCAAUGCCCGCGUGCGCGAAGAAGGCCUUCGGGUUGUAAAGCACUUUUGUCAGGGAAGAAAUCUUUUGGGCGAAUACCCCGGAAGGAUGACGGUACCUGAAGAAUAAGCACUGGCUAACUACGUGCCAGCAGCCGCGGUAAUACGUAGGGUGCAAGCGUUAAUCGGAAUUACUGGGCGUAAAGCGUGCGCAGGCGGUUCGCUAAGACAGUCGUGAAAUCCCCGGGCUUAACCUGGGAACUGCGAUUGAGACUGGCGAGCUAGAGUACGGCAGAGGGGGGUGGAAUUCCUGGUGUAGCAGUGAAAUGCGUAGAGAUCAGGAGGAACACCGAUGGCGAAGGCAGCCCCCUGGGCUAGUACUGACGCUCAUGCACGAAAGCGUGGGGAGCAAACAGGAUUAGAUACCCUGGUAGUCCACGCCCUAAACGAUGUCGAUUAGUUGUUGGUUCUUCAUUGAAUCAGUAACGAAGCUAACGCGUGAAAUCGACCGCCUGGGGAGUACGGUCGCAAGAUUAAAACUCAAAUGAAUUGACGG
This 586-nucleotide ribosomal RNA is filed under the name uncultured bacterium. Its description in RNAcentral is "bacterial SSU rRNA". It matches the Rfam family "Bacterial small subunit ribosomal RNA", at positions 338 to 916 of the family's 1533-position model. The record is from RNAcentral.